UUGGCAUGUCCCUGGAGCAAAUCCAAGAGGUAAAGACCACGAGGAAAAAUUCCUUUUCUGGUUUAAGUGGUCCCCCAGUACCCACUUAUUGGAGUUAGAAAAAAUGUUUCUUUAUAUGUGUGUCUUCUAAAGAAUUGAAUCUGAGACAAUAAAAGGGUCCAUGGUAGGUGUGAGCAAGUUGAAACGCUUUCUAAAUUAGAAAAUGGAAAAUGUUGUAAAGGACGUGAAUUCAGAUCAAUCCAAUUAGAGGAUUAUUUAUUGUUUCCUACAUGUAAGAAAGAGUCAACAUGAUGAACUGAUACAGAGCUGACUUCUGAGUCAGAAAAAACUGAGAAUAAGUCCCAUCUCUGGCAUAAUACCGGCUUUGUAACUAUGGGGAAGUCCCUUAAUCUCUCAGUGUUUCAAGAAACUCUGAGGUAACAAAUUGCAAAGAAGACAUCUGGUGAUGAAGUCCUAAGUUCAAGUCCAUCCCCAAAUAUUUAUUUGCUAUGAUAUACCAGAUGACAUGCUUUUUGGUCUUCUGGAGAAAGCAAGUGACCACUGGUGCCUGAAGAAAGAAGCAGGAUCAUUCUGGCUGGAUGUAUUGAGGAAGGGAGUAGGCAGGAUCAGAAGACUGAGUCCACUAAAUGAGAAACUAUGAAAAAGAAGUUUAAGUACCUUGCCUAAAGAUACACAGCAAAGGAAUGUCUGAGUUGAGAUUUGAACCCACAUUUCCUGACUUCCAGUCCAGCGCCUUAUUUACUGUACCCCCCAACUGCCUUUCCAUUCCAAAUGUUGUAACAUAUGAUCUAUGACUGAAAGCCAUUCUUCAUCCUAUCUUCAUUUUCACAUUGUAGCAUUUAGGGCACUGAACUUCAACUCAGAUGGAAUUAAGUUCAAACUCUGCUUUAGAAAUGUGAUAAAUGUGUGACUAUAGGCAAGUUAUUUUCCCUCUCAUGCCUCAGCAUCCUCAUUUGCAAAAUGAAGGAGUUGGUUUCUAAAAUCCUUCCACUUCUAAAUCUAUGAUGCUACUAC
This 1014-nucleotide long non-coding RNA is filed under the name Monodelphis domestica (gray short-tailed opossum). RNAcentral's name for it is "lncRNA (ENSMODG00000030454.2)". Lineage: Eukaryota; Metazoa; Chordata; Mammalia; Didelphimorphia; Didelphidae. The record is from RNAcentral.